This 920-nucleotide long non-coding RNA is filed under the name Homo sapiens (human). RNAcentral describes it as "non-protein coding lnc-ERLIN2-1:1". The record is from RNAcentral. Lineage: Eukaryota; Metazoa; Chordata; Mammalia; Primates; Hominidae.
CUAAAAACAGAGUCCCAGGCAACAGGGACAGAGAGACUGGCCCAGCAGGGGCUCUCUGGGCCAACUGAGCAAGGUGACAGGGCCCAGGAAAGGAGCUGUUGCCUGCACAAGGGCAGAUGGAGUCAAGGAAUCAGUGUUCAUGGGAUCCUGGCUGUCCCCACAGUGUCGUGGCUGAACCUUACAAGAACAGAAGCAAGUGAAGCACAGUCUCUGUGCCCAGAAUCACUGUCUGCCAGGCUCUGGCCAACCUGUAGCCUCUCCGUGCUGAAAACGACCCGCUAAAAAAGCCAAGAGGGAAGGACCCAGCACACAGCCGUGAACCACAUAUACACGAAGAGGGCCUAAAGUGAAAAAGAUAAACUUUAAAUCAAACGGAAACUUUUUCCAGCAACUUCCACUCUUGUGAUACUGAACUGAACUGAAGCAGAAGAUUUUAAGAGUUGCCUGAAUCCUUUGGACCUGCUUAUUGGCUUAAAAAGUCUAAUUGUGAAAUUGACUUAAAAAUUCCUAAUUGUGAAAGAAGGGGUCUCUUCUUUGGCAUGGCACUCUCACUAACAAUUUUCUUGGUAAGAGGACCCAACAAACAGCAAUAGAAAUAGAAAACUAUGGAUUGCUAGGUGAGAGUAUUUUUUAACCUGCUUCAAUCUACAACUGCAAAAUGAACUGGCCCAAUUUAAUUAGAAAAAUUUCAGUUUCUGACCACUGAUCUACAUUACUGAAAGGUUACAUGUGAAAUAAAUGUGGGGUGUGUGUGUGUGUUUGUGUCUGAAAUUGAAUCAUUUUCUAACUCAUUCACUAUAAAAAAGAAAUAGACGGGAUCAUUUGAACUCUGCCUUUGCAAUUUAUCAUCUUCGUGAUCUUAGACAAUCUCUUAAUUUCUCUAAGCUUCCACUUUCUCCUCUAAAAUGGAGUUGAACUCA